AGAGUUUGAUCAUGGCUCAGAUUGAACGCUGGCGGCAGGCUUAACACAUGCAAGUCGAGCGGUAACAUUUCUAGCUUGCUAGGAGAUGACGAGCGGCGGACGGGUGAGUAAUGCUUGGGAAUAUGCCUUGUGGUGGGGGACAACAGUUGGAAACGACUGCUAAUACCGCAUAACGUCUACGGACCAAAGGGGGGGACCUUCGGACCUCACGCCAUUAGAUUAGCCCAAGUGAGAUUAGCUAGUUGGUAGGGUAAAGGCUUACCAAGGCGACGAUCUCUAGCUGGUUUGAGAGGAUGAUCAGCCACACUGGGACUGAGACACGGCCCAGACUCCUACGGGAGGCAGCAGUGGGGAAUAUUGCACAAUGGGCGAAAGCCUGAUGCAGCCAUGCCGCGUGUGUGAAGAAGGCCUUCGGGUUGUAAAGCACUUUCAGCGAGGAGGAAAGGGUAUUACUUAAUACGUAAUAUCUGUGACGUUACUCGCAGAAGAAGCACCGGCUAACUUCGUGCCAGCAGCCGCGGUAAUACGAGGGGUGCAAGCGUUAAUCGGAAUUACUGGGCGUAAAGCGCAUGCAGGCGGUUGGCUAAGCCAGAUGUGAAAGCCCCGGGCUCAACCUGGGAACUGCAUUUUGAACUGGCAGGCUAGAGUCUAAGGUGGUAAAUUCAGGGUUAUUCGGUACGUAAUCGUAGAUUGAGAUCCGGGGAAGCGCCCUGCAAUAAUGACGUAAUGGAAGCUGGGGCAACAGAUUAAUCCCUGUUUCACGCGUAACGAGUCUACUGAUUGUUUGAACAUGGCUCCAAGCUACGCAUAAGUAGACCCCUGGGGAGUACGCCGCAGGUAAAACUCAAAUGAAUUGACGGGGGCCCGCACAAGCGGUGGAGCAUGUGGUUUAAUUCGAUGCCACGCGAAGAACCUUACCAUCCCUUGACAUCCAGAGAAUUCACUAGAGUGAAUUGGUGCCUUCGGGAACUAUGAGACAGGUGCUGCAUGGCUGUCGUCAGCUCGUGUUGUGAAAUGUUGGGUUAAGUCCCGCAACGAGCGCAACCCUUAUCCUUAUUUGCCAGCACGUAAUGGUGGGAACUCUAAGGAGACUGCCGGUGAUAAACCGGAGGAAGGUGGGGACGACGUCAAGUCAUCAUGGCCCUUACGAGUAGGGCUACACACGUGCUACAAUGGCGCAUACAAAGGGCUGCAAACCAGCGAUGGUAAGCGAAUCCCAUAAAGUGCGUCGUAGUCCGGAUUGGGGUCUGCAACUCGACCCCAUGAAGUCGGAAUCGCUAGUAAUCGUAGAUCAGAAUGCUACGGUGAAUACGUUCCCGGGCCUUGUACACACCGCCCGUCACACCAUGGGAGUGGGUUGCAAAAGAAGUAGCUAGUCUAACCUUCGGGAGGACGGUUACCACUUUGUGAUUCAUGACUGGGGUGAAGUCGUAACAAGGUAGCCGUA
Molecule: ribosomal RNA, 1447 nt
Filed under: uncultured prokaryote
Description: partial 16S ribosomal RNA
Rfam family: Bacterial small subunit ribosomal RNA
Source: RNAcentral